RNAcentral lists this ribosomal RNA (2151 nucleotides) under Bacillus cereus HuA2-1. Its description in RNAcentral is "23S ribosomal RNA". The record is from RNAcentral. Lineage: Bacteria; Bacillati; Bacillota; Bacilli; Caryophanales; Bacillaceae.
UUAAGCUCUCUAGCGCCGAUGGUAGUUGGGACCUUGUCCCUGUGAGAGUAGGACGUCGCCAAGCAAGCUAAAACACAAGUCUUUUGACUUGUGUUUUUUUGUAUAUUUGUUUCGUUAGAAACAAGGGUGGAAAUAUUGCUAAAUCAUACCAGAUGGAAAAUUAUUUACGCAAUCAUGAUAAAGGCGAAGUAUUUUCGCUAUUUUUAUUAAGCGCUCAUUAAACUAUAUGUAUUUCGUAAUAGGAUCAUUAUUGGUCAUAUUUUCAAUAUAAGAGGGAAACCUCUCUUCUUUUAUAAUUAAUUUUUAAAAAACUUGGCGCAUAAUUGAAGCUUCUAUACUCUAAAUGAUUUAAUGGUUUAUGAAUUAUAUAGCUAUUUCCCCUUAAAAUCCUGUAUACAGUAUCCCUUAACUAAUAAACAUUAGAGGUGUUUCUGCCGGUAAAUAUUUCUUUUUCAUGAUUGGACAUCUAAAUCUUCUUCAUUAAUAUACUUUUGAAAAUAACUCCGUUCAUAAUUUCAAUAAUAUAGAUUUGUGUAAUUGCUUCCUUUGAGUUUGCAGUUUGCUCAAUCUAUUAAACAAGCCCGUCUAUAUAAUUGCAUUUUAUAUAGACGGGCUUUUUAAAUUUUUUAUUCUUAUAAUAGUAGUGUUUUGAGGAAUGUUUUUUGUUAUUAAGUAUAGGGAAGUAGUACAUAAUCUAUGGAAAUGAUACAGGUGCUUUCAAUUAUUAUGAGAACAGCUAUAUUAUGGCUAAAUAUGUAGUGAGAUAUAGGGAUGUUGAACAAGGGGCUCAUUUACAAUUGAAGUGUAUAUAUGGGUAUGAAAUCUUCUUUGAUUAGUAGUCGUAACUUCUUGAGGCAUAAAUUUUUGAAUUCCGUAACGUCAGUGCUACAAUGAUUGAAAAAUAAAUGUUAAUGAGGUGUUCAUAUGAAAAUUGAAGUUUGGUCUGAUUUUGUAUGCCCGUUUUGCUAUAUUGGGAAGCGUAGAUUAGAAAUGGCUUUAGAGCAAUUUCCACAUAAGAAAGAUGUUGAAGUUGAGUUUAAAAGUUUUGAAUUAGAUCAAAAUGCUCCGAUCUACUCUGGAACGAGUAUUAAUGAAGUGCUUGCAUCGAAGUAUGGAAUUAGUGUUGAAGAAGCUGAUCGUAAUAAUAUACAACUAGGCAAUCAUGCAGCUAGUAUGGGUUUGAGUUUCAAUUUUGAAGAGAUGAAGCCAACAAAUACUUUUGAUGCACAUCGUUUGGCGAAAUUCGCAAAGGAUCAGGGGAAGGAAAAGGAGAUUACAGAAAAUCUACUUUUUGCAUAUUUCACUGAAUCGAGAAACUUAAGUGAUGUGGAAACACUAGCUAAUAUUGCUGAAGCUUCAGGUCUAGAUAGGGAAGAGGCUUUAAAUGUUAUUCAUAAUAAAAAUGCUUAUGCCAAUGAGGUUAGGAUUGAUGAAUCAAUUGCCCAACAAUAUAAAAUUACAGGGGUACCUUAUUUUAUUGUUAAUCAAAAGUAUGCUAUUUCAGGUGCACAACCACUUGAAACCUUUGUUGGUGCACUUCAGCAGGUGUGGGAAGAAGAGAACCCUAAGUCUGAACUUCAAGAUCUUUCAAUAAAUAGUACAACAGAUGAUUAUUGUGCAGAUGGUAGCUGCUCGAUACCUUCAAAGGAAUAAUAUUUAAUUCUUUCUUUCUAUUAUGGUGUGCAUAAUGUAAUGAGGGGAUAAAUUUUAAAUGUCAUAUGUAUAUUAAUGAUAUCUAAAUACGAAUACCCACAGUGACUUUUAUAGGUUAUUCGUAUUUAGUUUAUUUUGGGGAGUUACAUUCAAGUGUAUUAUUAUUGUGCUAACGGCUUGUUGGUAUAGUUAAUUCAUAUUUUUAUAAAAAACUUAUUUAAAACUAUUGACGAUUAACAUACAUGGGUGUAAUAUAGAACAAGUCGCCGAUAGCAAUAACGCAGAAAGCGACAAAAUAAAUAAAAAAACUUAGUUGACAUUGAAAUAUGAAAAUGUUAACAUAAGGGAGUCGCAAAUGAGCGACUAAGUAGUUCUUUGAAAACUGAACGAAACAAACAACGUGAACGUCAAUUUUUAUUUUUAGAUGCUAGACAAACUAACUUUAUUGGAGAGUUUGAUCCUGGCUCAGGAUGAACGCUGGCGGCGUGCCUAAUACAU